RNAcentral lists this ribosomal RNA (253 nucleotides) under uncultured bacterium. RNAcentral's name for it is "partial 16S ribosomal RNA". It matches the Rfam family "Bacterial small subunit ribosomal RNA", at positions 524 to 777 of the family's 1533-position model. The record is from RNAcentral.
UACAGAGGGGGCAAGCGUUGUUCGGAAUUACUGGGCGUAAAGGGCGCGUAGGCGGCCUUCUAAGUCGAACGUGAAAUCCCCGGGCUCAACCCGGGAACUGCGUCCGAUACUGGAAGGCUUGAAUCCGGGAGAGGGAUGCGGAAUUCCAGGUGUAGCGGUGAAAUGCGUAGAUAUCUGGAGGAACACUAGUGGCGAAGGCGGAUCUCUGGACAGUAUCUGACGCUGAGCACGAAGGCCAGGGGAGCGAAACGGG